UACGAAGGGGGCUAGCGUUGCUCGGAAUCACUGGGCGUAAAGGGCGCGUAGGCGGCCUGAUAAGUAGGGGGUGAAAUCUUGCGGCUCAACCGCAAGGCUGCCUUCUAAACUGUCAGGCUGGAGCACGGUAGAGGCAGAUGGAAUUCCCGGUGUAGCGGUGGAAUGCGUAGAGAUCGGGAAGAACACCAGUGGCGAAGGCGGUCUGCUGGGCCGUUGCUGACGCUGAGGCGCGACAGCGUGGGGAGCAAACAGG
RNAcentral lists this ribosomal RNA (253 nucleotides) under uncultured bacterium. Its description in RNAcentral is "partial 16S ribosomal RNA". It matches the Rfam family "Bacterial small subunit ribosomal RNA", at positions 524 to 776 of the family's 1533-position model. The record is from RNAcentral.